Arvicola amphibius (Eurasian water vole) is the source of this 171-nucleotide small nuclear RNA. RefSeq annotates it as U1 spliceosomal RNA. The record is from RefSeq and is a predicted model, not a curated record. NCBI's taxonomy places the organism in Eukaryota, Metazoa, Chordata, Mammalia, Rodentia, Cricetidae. The transcript has a single exon.
AACAUAACCUAAUGAGAGAUACCAUGAUCAUGAUGGUGGUUUUCCCAGGGAGAAGCUUAUCCACUGGGUAAGAAUGGUUAGAUUAUGCUGACCCCUUGUAAUUUCUUUAAAUAUAGGAAACACAACUCUAUAAUUUGAGGUAGUGGGGGACUGCAUUUGUGGUUUUUCCUG